Molecule: ribosomal RNA, 397 nt
Filed under: uncultured bacterium
Lineage: Bacteria
Description: partial 16S ribosomal RNA
Rfam family: Bacterial small subunit ribosomal RNA
Source: RNAcentral
AUACGUAGGGGGCGAGCGUUGUCCGGAAUGAUUGGGCGUAAAGGGCGCGUAGGCGGCCCGGUAAGUCUGGAGUGAAAGUCCUGUUUUUAAGAUGGGAAUUGCUUUGGAUACUGUCGGGCGUGAGUGCAGGAGAGGUAAGUGGAAUUCCCAGUGUAGCGGUGAAAUGCGUAGAGAUUGGGAGGAACACCAGUGGCGAAGGCGACCUACUGGACUGUAACGGACGAUGAAGAGCGAAAGUGUGGGGAGCAAACAGGAUUAGAUACCCAGGUAGUCCACACUGUAAACGAUGGAUGAUAGCUAUAGGGGGUAUCGACCCCUUCUGUGCCCCAGUCAACACAAUAAGCAUUCCGCCUGGGGAGUACGGCCGCAAGGUUGAAACUCAAAGGAAUUGACGGGG